RNAcentral lists this ribosomal RNA (495 nucleotides) under uncultured bacterium. RNAcentral describes it as "partial 16S ribosomal RNA". It matches the Rfam family "Bacterial small subunit ribosomal RNA", at positions 28 to 507 of the family's 1533-position model. The record is from RNAcentral.
GACGAACGCUGGCGGCGUGCCUAAUACAUGCAAGUAGAACGCUGAAGGAGGAGCUUGCUUCUCUGGAUGAGUUGCGAACGGGUGAGUAACGCGUAGGUAACCUGCCUGGUAGCGGGGGAUAACUAUUGGAAACGAUAGCUAAUACCGCAUAAUAUUGACUAUUGCAUGAUAGUCAGUUGAAAGGUGCAACUGCACCACUACCAGAUGGACCUGCGUUGUAUUAGCUAGUUGGUGGGGUAACGGCUCACCAAGGCGACGAUACAUAGCCGACCGGAGAGGGUGAUCGGCCACACUGGGACUGAGACACGGCCCAGACUCCUACGGGAGGCAGCAGUAGGGAAUCUUCGGCAAUGGACGGAAGUCUGACCGAGCAACGCCGCGUGAGUGAAGAAGGUUUUCGGAUCGUAAAGCUCGGUUGUAAGAGAAGAACGAGUGUGAGAGUGGAAAGCUCACACUGUGACGGUAUCUUACCAGAAAGGGACGGCUAACUACGUG